This 262-nucleotide ribosomal RNA is filed under the name uncultured bacterium. RNAcentral describes it as "partial 16S ribosomal RNA". It matches the Rfam family "Bacterial small subunit ribosomal RNA", at positions 793 to 1055 of the family's 1533-position model. The record is from RNAcentral.
GUCCUAGCCGUAAACGAUGAGUACUAGGUGUGGGGGUUAACACCUCCGUGCCGACGCCAACGCAUUAAGUACUCCGCCUGGGGACUACGGCCGCAAGGUUAAAACUCAAAGGAAUUGACGGGGGCCCGCACAAGCAGUGGAGCAUGUGGUUCAAUUCGAUGCAACGCGAGGAACCUUACCUGGGCUUGACAUCCCGUGCAAUCCGUGGAAACACGGGUUUCGCCGCAAGGCGACGCGGAGACAGGUGGUGCAUGGCUGUCGU